This 497-nucleotide ribosomal RNA is filed under the name uncultured bacterium. Its description in RNAcentral is "partial 16S ribosomal RNA". It matches the Rfam family "Bacterial small subunit ribosomal RNA", at positions 28 to 507 of the family's 1533-position model. The record is from RNAcentral.
GACGAACGCUGGCGGCGUGCCUAAUACAUGCAAGUUGAGCGAUGAAGAUUGGUGCUUGCCCCAAUUUGAAGAGCAGCGAACGGGUGAGUAACGCGUGGGGAAUCUGCCUUUGAGCGGGGGACAACAUUUGGAAACGAAUGCUAAUACCGCAUAACAACUUUAAACAUAAGUUUUAAGUUUGAAAGAUGCAAUUGCAUCACUCAAAGAUGAUCCCGCGUUGUAUUAGCUAGUUGGUGAGGUAAAGGCUCACCAAGGCGAUGAUACAUAGCCGACCUGAGAGGGUGAUCGGCCACAUUGGGACUGAGACACGGCCCAAACUCCUACGGGAGGCAGCAGUAGGGAAUCUUCGGCAAUGGACGAAAGUCUGACCGAGCAACGCCGCGUGAGUGAAGAAGGUUUUCGGAUCGUAAAACUCUGUUGGUAGAGAAGAACGUUGGUGAGAGUGGAAAGCCCAUCAAGUGACGGUAACUACCCAGAAAGGGACGGCUAACUACGUG